GUUGAAAAAUUAGCGGAUGACUUGUGGCUGGGGGUGAAAGGCCAAUCAAACCGGGAGAUAGCUGGUUCUCCCCGAAAGCUAUUUAGGUAGCGCCUCGUGAAUUCAUCUCCGGGGGUAGAGCACUGUUUCGGCAAGGGGGUCAUCCCGACUUACCAACCCGAUGCAAACUGCGAAUACCGGAGAAUGUUAUCACGGGAGACACACGGCGGGUGCUAACGUCCGUCGUGAAGAGGGAAACAACCCAGACCGCCAGCUAAGGUCCCAAAGUCAUGGUUAAGUGGGAAACGAUGUGGGAAGGCCCAGACAGCCAGGAUGUUGGCUUAGAAGCAGCCAUCAUUUAAAGAAAGCGUAAUAGCUCACUGGUCGAGUCGGCCUGCGCGGAAGAUGUAACGGGGCUAAACCAUGCACCGAAGCUGCGGCAGCGACGCUUAUGCGUUGUUGGGUAGGGGAGCGUUCUGUAAGCCUGUGAAGGUGUGCUGUGAGGCAUGCUGGAGGUAUCAGAAGUGCGAAUGCUGACAUAAGUAACGAUAAAGCGGGUGAAAAGCCCGCUCGCCGGAAGACCAAGGGUUCCUGUCCAACGUUAAUCGGGGCAGGGUGAGUCGACCCCUAAGGCGAGGCCGAAAGGCGUAGUCGAUGGGAAACAGGUUAAUAUUCCUGUACUUGGUGUUACUGCGAAGGGGGGACGGAGAAGGCUAUGUUGGCCGGGCGACGGUUGUCCCGGUUUAAGCGUGUAGGCUGGUUUUCCAGGCAAAUCCGGAAAAUCAAGGCUGAGGCGUGAUGACGAGGCACUACGGUGCUGAAGCAACAAAUGCCCUGCUUCCAGGAAAAGCCUCUAAGCAUCAGGUAACAUCAAAUCGUACCCCAAACCGACACAGGUGGUCAGGUAGAGAAUACCAAGGCGCUUGAGAGAACUCGGGUGAAGGAACUAGGCAAAAUGGUGCCGUAACUUCGGGAGAAGGCACGCUGAUAUGUAGGUGAAGUCCCUUGCGGAUGGAGCUGAAAUCAGUCGAAGAUACCAGCUGGCUGCAACUGUUUAUUAAAAACACAGCACUGUGCAAACACGAAAGUGGACGUAUACGGUGUGACGCCUGCCCGGUGCCGGAAGGUUAAUUGAUGGGGUCAGCGCAAGCGAAGCUCUUGAUCGAAGCCCCGGUAAACGGCGGCCGUAACUAUAACGGUCCUAAGGUAGCGAAAUUCCUUGUCGGGUAAGUUCCGACCUGCACGAAUGGCGUAAUGAUGGCCAGGCUGUCUCCACCCGAGACUCAGUGAAAUUGAACUCGCUGUGAAGAUGCAGUGUACCCGCGGCAAGACGGAAAGACCCCGUGAACCUUUACUAUAGCUUGACACUGAACAUUGAGCCUUGAUGUGUAGGAUAGGUGGGAGGCUUUGAAGCGUGGACGCCAGUCUGCGUGGAGCCAACCUUGAAAUACCACCCUUUAAUGUUUGAUGUUCUAACGUUGGCCCCUGACCGGGGUUGCGGACAGUGUCUGGUGGGUAGUUUGACUGGGGCGGUCUCCUCCCAAAGAGUAACGGAGGAGCACGAAGGUUGGCUAAUCCUGGUCGGACAUCAGGAGGUUAGUGCAAUGGCAUAAGCUAGCUUGACUGCGAGCGUGACGGCGCGAGCAGGUGCGAAAGCAGGUCAUAGUGAUCCGGUGGUUCUGAAUGGAAGGGC
This 1672-nucleotide ribosomal RNA is filed under the name human gut metagenome. Its description in RNAcentral is "bacterial LSU rRNA". It matches the Rfam family "Bacterial large subunit ribosomal RNA", at positions 788 to 2442 of the family's 2925-position model. The record is from RNAcentral.